CCGAGUUCGAGCGGUUUCUGGGCGGGC
Molecule: small RNA, 27 nt
Filed under: Bombyx mori (domestic silkworm)
Lineage: Eukaryota; Metazoa; Arthropoda; Insecta; Lepidoptera; Bombycidae
Description: ovarian small RNA-13829
Source: RNAcentral